AACAAGUAUGCGUUUACAGUGCAAAAUCUGACAGAGCUGGUGAUGAAGAUCUCUUGGAUUUGACACCUUAAACUAAUGAAAAUGAAAUGAUUAAAAGGUGAUAAAGAAAGUGGGACAAAUCGAAUUCAGAUUUGAGGUCAGAUCUGCCCGAAAACGAGUAGAUCUAUUCUCAGAUCUGUGGCAGAGCCAGCAUGAUCCAAGUCACGAAAAUAUGAUUUUAAAGCAAAUAAGCAGAUCAAAAUGAAAUUAGAAGAAUAAAAGAAGAAUAAAAAAAAGAAAGAAAUGAUACCGAACCCGACCGGAUGGCCCAGGACUCUUGAGCCUUCUGGGGCUCGCCAUAUCAGAACCGGUCUUCUUUUGUCUCUUUGAGUCGGAUGUUCACCACCAAGUAUCUGGUUGAAGAAGGGUGGUUGUGCCCAAAGGGUAGAUCUAGGGUGGUUGUGCCCUAGGUCUAGGUUUUCUCUCAGGAGGCUCGGGUUCCUGAAGCAGUUUAUAAAGUUUUCU
RNAcentral lists this long non-coding RNA (504 nucleotides) under Amborella trichopoda. RNAcentral describes it as "long non-coding RNA (ATRI_LNC004030)". The record is from RNAcentral. Lineage: Eukaryota; Viridiplantae; Streptophyta; Magnoliopsida; Amborellales; Amborellaceae.